This is an RNA transcript of Brienomyrus brachyistius, 7816 nucleotides long. It is a transcript of the gene named CAP-GLY domain containing linker protein 1a, with no coding region annotated. The transcript has 26 exons. The record is from RefSeq and is a predicted model, not a curated record. NCBI's taxonomy places the organism in Eukaryota, Metazoa, Chordata, Actinopteri, Osteoglossiformes, Mormyridae.
CGCCGCUCGUCGGCCACAGCCGCGAACGUGAAGACGCUCUGCGCGAGCUCAACCUGCGGCAGGAAGAGGGGCGCUCGGCUCCAGAGAGGAAUUAACCGACGGAAUUUACCAGACUGCUGUAUCAAAGGCUGUCGCCCUGAAUGAAUUGAAAGCGCGCACGUUUGUAUAACGCGUAUCAUUCCGGGUUUUUUUUUCCAGGGCACCAUCCCCUUCCCCCCCAUCCCCUUGUCCUUUUUUGUUUUUCCAUUUUGUCCCUCCUCCACUUUGUUUUGACGGAUAGCGCAUCCCAGUGGAGUGGAACUGAGUCCAUGGUUGCACCGGGCUGAAGCCCUCUGACAGACAAGAGGCUAGUGACUCAGAGAAGCAUGAGUACUGCAAAGCCCAGUGGGCUGAAAGCGCCCAGCAAGAUUGGCAGGCCAGCUGUGGCUGCUGCCAAGACAGCGCCCUCCACAGCUGUGCCUAAACCUGUUGUGGCUGAAAAGUCUGCAAGUCCUGCCUCGGCAGAGGCGCAGGAUGCAGCAGAGAGCUUCCAGGUCGGGGAGCGCGUGUGGGUAAACGGCAACAAGCCCGGCUUCGUGCAGUUCCUGGGUGAAACGCAGUUUGCGCCUGGCCAGUGGGCAGGCAUCGUGCUGGAUGAACCCAUUGGGAAGAACGAUGGCUCAGUGGCAGGUGUGCGCUACUUCCAGUGUGAGCCUCUGCGAGGCAUCUUCACCCGGCCCUCCAAGCUGUCCCGCACAGAGGGCGAGGCCAAUGGCGCACAGACGGCACCCCCCUCCAGAGCAGCCUCCCCCACUUCUGCUGCCCUGGCUGCCACCACCACCCCAGCCUCCACAGCCAGUCCUGCUCCCGUUUCUGCCACGGGCUCUGCCACAGCCACAGCAUCAGCCCCAACCCCAACCCCAACCCCAGCCCCCAAGAAGACCUCACCGGCAGAUCCAGCCUCCAACCUGGCACGGGCCAAUAGUGAGUCUGUCUCCAACCUGUCCGAGGCAGGCUCUGUUAAGAAGGGUGAACGGGAGCUGAAGAUGGGAGAUCGUGUGCUGGUUGGGGGCACCAAGGCUGGUGUGGUGCGGUUCCUGGGUGAGACAGACUUCGCCAAGGGCGAGUGGUGUGGCGUGGAGCUGGAUGAGCCUCUGGGAAAGAAUGAUGGGGCGGUGGCUGGAACCAGGUACUUCCAGUGCCAGCCCAGAUACGGCCUGUUCGCACCAGUGCACAAGGUGACGCGAAUUGGUUUCCCAUCCACCACACCAGCCAAAGCCAAGGCGGCCGCGGCACGCAAGUCCGUGACCACGCCUUCCUCCCUCAAGCGUAGCCCCAGCGCCUCCUCCAUCAGCUCCAUGAGCUCAGUCACCUCCUCUGUCAGCGGCAAGCCCAGCCGUACAGGCCUGCUGACAGAGACGUCGUCUCGCUAUGCACGCAAGAUCUCGGGCACCACGGCUUUGCAGGAAGCCCUGAAGGAGAAGCAGCAGCACAUCGAGCAGCUGCUGGCCGAGCGGGACCUCGAGCGAGCCGAGGUUGCCAAGGCCACUAGCCACGUGGGCCAGGUGGAGCAGGAGCUUACGCUGCUGAGGGAGGGACAGGAGCAGUAUGUGCUGGAGAUGGAGGCCAAGAUGGACCAGUUGCGUGGGUUGGUGGAAGCUGCAGACAGGGACAAGGUGGAGCUGCUGAACCAGCUGGAGGAGGAGAAAAGGAAAGUGGAGGACCUUCAAUUCCGUGUGGAAGAAGCCUGCAUUACCAAAGGGGACCUGGAGACGCAGACCAAACUGGAGCAUGCCCACAUUAAGGAACUUGAACAGAGCCUGCUCUUUGAAAAGACCAAAGCUGACAAACUCCAGAGAGAGUUAGAAGACACUAGGGUAGCAACGGUUUCUGAGAAAUCUCGUAUAAUGGAGCUGGAGAGAGACUUAUCCCUGCGAGCCAAGGAGGUGGCUGACCUACGCAUGCACAUGGAGUCGUCACGGGGGGUGGAGGCCGGCCACUUUGUGCCCUCUGGCUCAGAGGAGCUGAGCUUGCUGAAGGCUCAGCUGGCAGCACAGGGUGCAGAGCACCAACACGAGCUAGCUGUCCUGAGGGAACACUUGGAGGCCAGCGAGAAGGGCUGGCAGGAAGAGCGCACCCAGCUAAAGGCCAACAGUGACCAGCUCUCCCAGGAAAAUGAGCUGCUUAAGGGUCACCUUAGCCAGGCUGAAAAGGAGAAUGCGAACGUCGUCCAACUGUGGCGGACCAAACUCGAGUCGGCCAUUGUCUCCAACCAGCAGACCAUUGAAGGCUUGAAGGCGUCCUUUGGCAAGGACGCAGGAGCUCAGUCUGCUGAGCUGAUGGAACUGAAGAGUGCCAUAGAGAGGCAGAAGUUGGAGCACAGUUUGCAGUUGGAAGAGCUUAAGUCCAGGAAGGAGGCUGAGGGAACCUCCAGGUCCCGUGAGAUAGAGGAUCUGCGUGGCCGGUUGAUGCAUGCCUCAGAAGAGAAGGAAAGGCUGGCAGAGUCACUCCGCAGCAGCCUGGAGAGUGCUGAAGAACAGCACCUGGUGGAGAUGGAGGAUGUCCUGGGCAAGCUUCAUGCUGCUGAAGUGAAGGUAAAGGAGCUAGAGGACCUAGAGGGCCGGUGUGACCAGCAGACCUCUGAGCUGCAGGCUCUGAGGGAGCAGGUUAAGGAGUCCAGGGAAGCCCUGCAUGCCCAGGAGGCUCAAGGUAACCAGGAAGUUCAGAAACUGAGGGCCAGUGUGGAGGCAGCUGAAGCCACGUCCCACUCGCAGUCUGCCAAGGUCACAGACCUGGUCAGAGAUUUGGAGGGCAGGCAGCUGGAGAUACUGUCCCUCAAGGAGAAGCUGGCAGCCACAGAUAAAGAGAGAAUCUCUCUGGAGCAGCAGCUGGGUAACCUGAAGCAAAACCUUGAUGGGUCAACAGCAGAACAGGGUAAAACUGCCCAAGUUCUGCAAGAAACCUUGGAGAAGCUUGGUGUGAAAGACGCGCAGUGCACAGCAUUUUUGACAGAGACAGAGACCCUUAAGAGCCAGCUGGCCGGGAUGGGCAGGAAGAUGAAGGCAGCAGAGGAGAAACUGGACAGGCUGACUGCAGACAAGGCCAAGCUGGAGAGCGACAUGGCGGACAUGAUGAAGUUGUCAGGAGACAGCUCCGCCCAGCUAACCAAGAUGAACAAUGAGCUCACCCAGAGAGAAAGGUGCGUGGAGGAGCUGCAAGCCCAGCUUUCUGAGGCCAAGGAGCAAGCAGCAUACCUGGACGAGAGUCGACGGCAGAGCGAGGAGCGGGUAGCCCAACAGCUGCGAGAGGCAGAGGGGACACACCAGGCUGAGCUGCAGGCACGGGGUCUGCAGCUGGCCGAGCUGGAGGCGAGCAUUAAACAGGGCCAGGCCCAGAACCAGGAGCUCCAGGCCUCCCAAGCCAUCUCCCUAAAGAAGCAGACAGAGCAGCACAACCAGCAACUCCAGGAUCUUCAUGCCAAGCUGGAGGCAGUCGAGCAGGAGCUCAGUACAAUACAAGGCCGCGCCAUGGACCUAGAACAGCAGGUGCUUGAGCUGAAGUCCUACAAAGAACAGGCCCAGUCCCUUGUUGUCGAGCUAGCCUCCUCCAAGCAGGAAGCUGAGCAGUUAGUUGCACAGUUGGAGGUUCAGACAUUAGAGUUAGAGAGAGCAUCUAGAGAAAUCGCUGAAUCUGGAGCUCUGAGAGAGGCCCUUCAGACACAGCUCUCUGACGCUGCCAUGAAUCUCUCUACACUGGGAUCCAGCCGCACGGAACUUCUGUUGAAAUCUGAAGAACUAACGCAGCUUAAUAGGCAGGUUCUCCAGCAGAAAGAAGCGCUUCAUUCCAAGAAUCAGGAGCUGCACAAGGAAACAGCCGCAUUGUGCUUGGAGAAGGAUACCCUUUCCCAGGCAGUCGAGGAGCUUAGUGUUCGUAUAAAAGAUGCGGAACUGGCCAACAAGAGGUUUCAGGAUACUGAAGCAGAAUACAUGAGCCAAUUGAAGGAGCUUCGCAAGAUAAAUGCUGAAAGGCAGGAAGAUCUUCUAAAGUACCAACAGGAGAUCCUAAACCAGGAGAAUAACAGGAAGCAACUCAUGAAGGAUUACGAGAAGAUAUUUGAGGCAAAAGAAAGCAUCCAGGAGGAAUUGAAGCAAAGCAAAGAGAAACUGACAUCUGAGCAGGAGAAGCUGGCAGUUGCAAUAGACUUGGUCAGAGAGGAGAACACCAUCUUAAGUACCAAGAACACUGAGCUAGAGGCCAGAUGGACUUCACUGAACAUGGAGAAAGAGGAUCUCUAUGCAAGAAACGCUCAGCUGCACGCAGAGGCUGAUACUUUUGGGAAGGAAAAAGCUGAGAUUCUUGAACAGCUUCAGUCAUCUGUUUCUGACAAGGAAGCUCUUGGAGUGGAAAAAAGAGAUCUUCAAAAUCAACUGCAUGCUACCAAGAAAGACCUGGAGAAGUCUCUUUAUGAUAAUGCUGAGUUACAGGCCUCUAAAAACAGCCUGGCCAAGAUGCUAGAGGAAAUUAAAACCAGCAGGGAGAUCACUGACUCUGAAAGACUCCACCUUUUGCAGGAGAAGGAAGAUCUGUUGGCUAAUCAGAGGAAGGUAUGUAUGGAGAAGGCUGAGAUCCUCAGGGAGAAAGAAGAACUGUCUGAGAAGCUCUGCCUGUCAGCCGCUGCCUUAGAGAAGUCCCAGCAAGAGGUCACAUCCCUGGGCCAGGAGAAGCAAGCACUCAACUGCAAGCUACAGGAAGCAGAGAAGCAACUUCUUGGCCUGCAAGCUGAGAAAGCAGCCCUUGAACUUGCAGUGCAGCAGCAUGUGAGUGAGAAGCUCUGUUUGGAGAAGGACAAGGGAGAUCUGCUAGAAAAGCAUGAAAGGGAGAUAUCUGAGAAGGAGGCUCUUGCAAAGGAAAAGGACAAACUGGCAGAUGAUGUCAAUUUCAUAAAGGACCAGCUGGAGAACUCUUGCAGAAUGAAUGCAAGCCUCCUGGAGGAGAAGGUCGUUUUAGCAGCCAUGCUAGAGGAAAUGAAAAGUAGCCUGGUGACGGUGGGUGCUGAGAAAUCCAUGAUGGAGCAGGAAAAAUCAGAUCUGCAAAUCCAGCUGCAGAUUCAGUGCUCCCAUAAGGAAACCCUUGAGGGAGAGAAAGCUGAUCUGAUAGAGAAAUUACAGAAACUGAAGGAUGAAUCUGAAUAUGUACGAAUGGAGCUGGUGCAGGAAAGAGAGACCUUGAAGGCAGAGAGAGACUGCCUUGUUCUUAGGGAGACUGACUUGACCCGGGGUCUGCAGGAGCUGGAGAAGGAGAAAGAGGAACUUUUAGCUCGGAUGCGGGAUAUCUCUACUCAGAAUGAAAGUCUCUUAGGAGAAAAACAGUGUGUGGAACAUCAGCUAAAGGACAGUGCCAAUGAAAUAAGCAAGCUGACUGCAGCUAAGGAUGUCCAGGACAGAAAAGUGACAGACCUUCAAGGAGAGCUGUGCACUCUGGCCAUCAGCCUGAAGGAGGAGCAAGGCAAGGCCAUUGCCUUGAACCAAGAGGCAGAAACCCUGAGGUUUCAGCUGAAGCAGAUCAAUUUAGAAAAAGAGAACCUGGUUGCUGAGAAAGCAAGCAUUGCUGCUAAGUUGGAAGAGGUGGGUAGAGAAACUGUCUCUCUGGCCAUGGAGAAGGUGAACCUCCUGGAUGCCAAAUCCAAGCUCGAGCAAGACAUGGAGUCCUUUCUCAAUGGUCAGGAGGCGAGUGCUGCUGAGAACUUAAGGCUCCAGCAGGAGACCAAAGCCCAGCAGGCCACCUUGUUGGCGCUGGAGGCAGAGCUUGCCACACUUCGGGUUGAGAAGGCCUCACUGGAGGAGAAGCAGCGGGCAUCCCUGGAAAAGACAGCGGCCUCUGGCCAAGCCCAGGCAGAACUCUCUGCUAGCCUGAGUACCUUACAGGGCGAAAGGGAGUCCCUGGUCAGGGAGAGGGACCAAGCUGCCCAGAAAGUCAUGCAUCUCGAAGCCCUGCACAAAAACGCUCUGUCCCAGCAGCUUGAGGCCGCCCAGUCUGCUGGGCAGCUACAACAGGCCCUGGAGCAGCUGACACAGGAGAAAAAUCGGCUGCUUCAGGAGAGGAGUGGGAUCCAAACCCGCCUGCAGGAGAGCCAAGGGGCCACAAAGGAGCUGCAGGGACAGCUGGAUGCCCUGAAACAGCAGAACUCCAAGUACCUGGAGGAGCUAAGCGUGUCAAGGGAGCAGCUCAGCUCUGAGAACCAGAAGAUCAGCAGCCUGUCCAGAGAGAUAGAGGAUCUGAAGCUGGCCACUACCCAGAAGUCUCAGCGUCUUGCUGUUCUGCAGGAGGAAAACACCAAACUGGCCAAGGAGCUGGAUACCAGUCGACAGGAGGGAAGCUGCCAGAAGGAGCUCGAAGAAGAGCUCUCCACUCUGAACAGUCAGCUCCUUCAGUUGAAGAAGAGAGAGAAUUCCCUGAAGAAGGAAUCUGACGAGGAGAAGAUCUCCCUCCAUCAAUCCAUCCAGAGGAGCAGCACCUUGAUCUCGGCAAAGGACAAAGAGCUUGAGGCCCUGAGAAGCGAGGUCGCCGUCUUGCGGGAUGAGAAUGUGCUCGCUAAGACAUUGCAGUCGGCUGUCCGCUCGUUGGAGCUGGACAAAGCGCGACUGCAGGAGCAGGUGCGGAGCCUAGAGCAAAAGCUGGUGGGGGGCGAGCCCACCAACCCUGAAGGAUCCUCAGGUGAUUCAGCCCUGGCACAGCUCCGGGAAGAGAAGGAGUCAGCUGAGAGCCAGCAGGCAGCGGUUCGUUACUGUUUCUCAUCUGUUUGUUUCCGAGCAUGUCUGUUUCAUGUUCCUGUGCCAUGAUAUAUCUGUUCAUUAAAGAUGGAGGCAGCUGUUGGUGGGGGUGAGGGGGGGGAGGUAGGCCAAUGUACUGGUUGUCUCCCAACAAAGAAUCAGGCUUUCUCUGAUACUUUCUGUUCUCGUUAGUAAUUUCCACUCCAUGUGUGACCCCAAGUCCACCUUGGAAUGAUCUUUUCUACUCAGGUUAAUGCAAAUUUCUUACUUUGUGCAUCUUAUUCAUCAAGGAAUGCAGAUCAUACGGUCUGAUUCAUCAUUUUUCUGUUAAAUGCAGUAAGAAUUGUGCCAGUAGACUAGUGGUUAUGGCCAUGGAUUCUGACCAUGAGUCCAGCUAAAAUUGGUAGAAUGGGGCAGAGAAGCAGGGAAAGGAGAUCCAGGCUGUACCCCACACAGUAGACAGCUGUAGAACCUCCAGACUAGUUAUCCUUCCAUAAUUGUAAGUGGCCAUUUCAGUGACCCCCCACUCCCCCCAGAGAUACUGUCUGAUUCACAUACUGUAGACUGGGUUCCGGGAAGGUGCCUUCUCCUGACUUCUGUUUUAACCACUGACUGAGCGCACUGGUGAAAGUCCUCUGUCUGUCUUGGAGGGGUUGUAAGGUAGCCGUUGGAUGUGGCCUCUCAGAGCACUGUGUGAAUAGUACUUACUGCCUGUGUGGUAAACAUUAAUAUAUCUGCACGUCAGAACGGCAUUUUCAAGAUCUCAUAGCACAUCAUAUUGUGUAGAUUGCCUAAUAGUAUGGGGAGCUGCGCAUGUUUGCUGCUGGUUGCUUUUAUUUAUUUGUUUGCUUAUUUUUGCUCUGGACUGAGCUGGUCAUGCUUUGCAUGCAAUGGUGAUCCCUGUCCUGUUCGGAGCAGAUUGACUUCCUGAACUCGGUCAUCGUGGACCUGCAGAGAAAGAAUGAGGAGCUGAAGUCUAAGCUGGAGAAGAUUUCGGAGGCGGCACUCAAUGGAAAUAACCCUGACGAGCUCGACAGCUACGACUGUUUCAGUGAGGACCGGCCCAA